RNAcentral lists this ribosomal RNA (379 nucleotides) under uncultured eukaryote. RNAcentral describes it as "partial 18S ribosomal RNA". It matches the Rfam family "Eukaryotic small subunit ribosomal RNA", at positions 592 to 976 of the family's 1831-position model. The record is from RNAcentral.
CAAUAGCGUAUAUUAAAGUUGUUGCGGUAAAAAAGCUCGUAGUUGGAUUUCUGUUGAGAGCGACCGGUCCAUACCAUGUAUGCGUAUCUGGCUUGCUCUCGGCAUCCUCUCGAUAGACGUUACUGCGCUUGAUUGCGUGGUGCGGAUCUCGGGACUUUUACUUUGAGGAAAUUAGAGUGUUCACGGCAGGCUUUCGCCAGAAUACAUUAGCAUGGAAUAAUACUAUAGGAUCUUGGUUCUAUUUUGUUGGUUUCUAGAAUUGAGAUAAUGAUUAAUAGGGACAAUUGGGGGCAUUCGUACCAACACGUCAGAGGUGGAAUUCUUGGAUUGUGUUGCGACGAACUACUGCGAAAGCAUUUGCCAAGGAUGUUUUCAUUGA